UACGAAGGGGGCUAGCGUUGCUCGGAAUCACUGGGCGUAAAGCGCACGUAGGCGGAUCUUUAAGUCAGGGGGGAAAUCCCAAGGCUCAACCUUGGAACUGCCUUUGAUACUGGGGAUCUCGAGUCCGGAAGAGGUGAGUGGAACUGCGAGUGUAGAGGUGAAAUUCGUAGAUAUUCGCAAGAACACCAGUGGCGAAGGCGGCUCACUGGUCCGGUACUGACGCUGAGGUGCGAAAGCGUGGGGAGCAAACAGG
This 253-nucleotide ribosomal RNA is filed under the name uncultured bacterium. RNAcentral's name for it is "partial 16S ribosomal RNA". It matches the Rfam family "Bacterial small subunit ribosomal RNA", at positions 524 to 776 of the family's 1533-position model. The record is from RNAcentral.